Molecule: long non-coding RNA, 538 nt
Organism: Diceros bicornis minor
Lineage: Eukaryota; Metazoa; Chordata; Mammalia; Perissodactyla; Rhinocerotidae
Exons: 5
Source: RefSeq, a predicted model, not a curated record
GGGUGGGCAUGGCUGAGAUGACCAGACAUGGGAGAUGACACCUGCGCAAAUUUGGAGGCCCGUGAACCACUGCAUUGCCACAUCAGCAGAGAAAAUACCGGAUGGGAGGAGGAUGCAGAGCCAGGAAAACUACGGAGACAGGGUCACAGGGAAGAAACGGCACCAGGGAGCACUUAGAGAAAGAAAUGAUGGUUAUUUUUCCACAGAAUCAAUAAAAGCUGUCCCUCCACCACAUCUGACACACCAGCUCCUGUCAUUAACAUCCAAGUAUUAAGCCAGGGGAACUCAAUCUGGGAACACCAUCAACGGAGCCGCUAAAUUAUUACAUCUGAGGAAGAGAAAUUUACCUUGGCUGAUCUGCAUGUGUCAUCUCAAGCCUGUCUCAGGGAGACUGGAAUGCUGGGCCAGGAGAGCAGGCCUAGAAGAGGAAAUCAGUUUAAAGUGUCAGCCCUUGAUUUCUGAAGCCAGACCUUGGCACUGGUGGCAGACUUCUCAUGUGCUGAGGUCUCAAUUUAAAACCAAAGUGUCCCAAUGGCAC